CCCUUUCUUUCUCGGAAGGCCAUUGCUGAUGAAGCACUCGCAGCUCUGUUUCAUAUUUAACAUUGAUCAGAGGGCACAAUCAUGGCUCAAGCUUCUAGAUUUAAUUUUCAGAUUCUGCAGCAUACUUCAUGGGAGCCUGAACUUGAUACAGAGAAGACUUGCAGAGCCCUGGCUGAAAAAAGGGAAGUGCUUCACGUCCAAUCUGUUGGCUCCAGCAUAAAAUGGUCAGAUGGACACUCUCAAUCCUGCUGUGAACUCACAGGAGAACAUUGCUGCUCUAUGAAAUGAGCUUGCCUCCUGCCUUCUUGUAUCCAGCAUCAUUCUGAAGGCAAGCUGAAGGGCCUCUGCAGUGUCUACAGCAGAAGGAUAUGCAAAGACAUUUGGAAGACGAAACCACACAGUCUUUAGGACAAAGAGGAUAGCAAGAAAGGAAAAAUGACUUCAUGCAAAUCCAAUCAACCAUCUGAAAGCUGAGGAUUUAUCUGGGGAGCUUUAAAAAAAUAAGCUAUUAACAGUACCCCCUCCCUACUACAAGCAGAAACACUCGGAGAACAGGCUAGAUUGUGGUUUCCUGUGAUUCAGGCUCAGAAGGUGUAAGACAGUGGGUCUGAAUUCCAUUUUUAAAGAAGUGCUCAGGGAUCGGUGCCACAGCAGCCAACAAGUCACAUUUCAGGUGCCAGUGAUUUAAACAGCAUGAGAGGAAUAGGAUUUGUCUUCCCUGUAUUAGCAUCACUUAACGAAGAUCCAGAAGACUAUCUGACAUUGAAGGAGAUAAGAAAGCUGCAACAUGAAAUUCAAACUCAUUAAGCAUAAGCUAGAACUUCACUCCUCCUACUGUGUACCAGGUAUUCCUAUGAACUGGAAUACUUAAAAAUGGUAAAAUUGGAUCCCCACUCUUUAAAGUUUUACAGUUCUCAGAGAAGACAAGCUACUUAUAACAUACUACAAUAUUUCCAGUACCCUAUUGCCGAAGAAGAAGAAGAAGAAGAAGAAGAAGAAGAAGAAGAAGAAGAAGAAGAAGAAGAAGAAGAAGAAGAAGAAGAAGAAGAAGAAGAAGAAGAAGAAGAAGGGGAGGGGGAGGGAGAGGGGAGGGGAAAGGAGGAGGAAGAAAAGAAGAGGAGGGGAUAGAGAAAGAGGAUGAAGAGGAGGAGGAGGAGGUGGUGGAGACUCCUUUCACCUCCAUAACACCACUCCCUGUUUUCCUUUCAUAAAUUGUUAUCAUUAGUCAUGGGCUGGCUCAUCUUCUUGACAUUAGAGCCACUCUGCUCCCGCCUUGUUAGACUCUCUUAGAUACUAACCCCAGUCAUGCUUCAAGUGACAGUCUGAUACAAUUUUACUUCGUGAUAGCUUCUCUCACUCUUGCCUACAGAUUGGAUGACCAUUUCUGCAUCUCUUCCUAGUACCCUACCUGUGAUAAUUUAUUACAUAUCACACAUGUAUUUCCUUCUUUCUUUAGGUAGUAAACAUCCUAAAGUCAAGUGUAUAAUCUUUUUAUUAUAGUGUUUCCACAAAUGUCAUAAUAAAUAUAACAAUGACUUUCUGAGACUAGGUCCUCAAAAAACAAGUUAUGAAUGAACUUAGUAAUAGGAACGUAGGAAUGAUAAUAGGUUAUGAGAGCAUGAUUAAGUACUAUAGUAUUGAUCUACCAAAACAGUUUGAGAAAUUGAGGCUUCCCCCACAUUCAAACCUGGUCCUGCAAAGAAAGCCAAAACUCAUAUCUAUGGGAUUCAUGGACCCCAAGGAAGAAUCUUGUAGUACUGUUUUUUUUUCCCUAAAAGGUCAUGCUGUCAAGCUGCCUUUUAAAUAUUUAUAUUUAAACUAAUAGAUUUAUUCUUCCCCUAACACUGGUCAGAAAUGCUUUUUAUCAUAGUGGGUAGGGCUUAAUGUAGAGAGCCACUGCUGUUCAAAGUUCUGAGAAUAAAUAAGCAUCUAUGAGUGCUCAGCAGUAAUAGAUGGGACAGCAGCAUCAGCCUUCCCCCAGUGCUAAAGGAACAGCUAGGGAAAGGGAAGGAAAGAAUAUGAGGGCUGAAAUAUUAUGGAAAACACUGUGAAAUGCUGUAUUUUAGAUAUGAAAUGGCAAUUGCAUACCUGAACUUGAAGCAGCUAUGGUAUCUGCACAAUUAUCUUCCAAAGAUAGAGCCAGUUAAAAUUCUAGUAUUUGGGGACAGGAAUAUCCUGAUUCCUCAUUGCUAGCUGAAGAGCUAUGGUUAGCUGAUGAUUUCUGUUAGAGGCUCAUUAUUCUUUGAGUAUGUAUGUAGUUGAUUCUCCUUGCCCGAAUGAAUAACUCAACACUCAUGUAAUUGGGGGCAACACAAAUUGGACUCAAUGGGCUAAAAACAUAGAUAAAUACAUAGAGUAGAUAGAUAGAUAGAUAGGUAUAUAGAUAGAUAGAUAGAUAAUAGAUAGAUAGAUAGAUAGGUAGUCAUAUAGAGAGAUAUAUGAUAGAUAGAUAGAUAGAUAGAUAGAUAGAUAGAUAGAUAGAUAGAUGAUAGAUAGUUAUAUAUAGAUAUGAUAGAGAUAGAUGGUGGAUAGAUAGAUAGAUAGAUAGAUAGAUAGAUAGAUAGAUAGAUAGACAGACAGAUGGAUAGAUAGAUAAGGAGGACAUGAAGUUGGAAAGGAAAAGUUACCUAGGUUCUUGGGUUGUUAGAAGGGGAAUGAAGUCUGAGUCCACAGGAUCAAGUUACAUUGUAUUCAUAUAUGAAAAUUUCAAAGAAUAAAAAAUGAAAAAAAACAUUUAUAUACUACUGGUUAAAAUAUCAGCUUCAAGAGAAAAUUAUAACCUUUAUCAGACAUUAAAAAUUAGUGUGAGGAAAAUGUUUGAGCUAGAACUUACCUACGGUAGAAUUUUCAAGGCAGUACUAGGCAUCAGAGAAACAAAGAUGUUCUAAGAACCAAGACAUUUUAGAUUAAAUCAUACAAGAUUUGAGAACUAAAGUAUAAAAGGAAAAGGAACAGAGGGUUCUAAACAGAAAGCAAAAUGGUUAUGACAACCCUGUGGUUUCUCACUUCCUGAAUGUUACUACAGACUGGAAACAAAUGUCUAAACCACGUCUUACAGACACUAACUGCCAUGCUGGCCUAUCAUAUGUUUUGUUUGUUUGUUUGUUUGUUUUGCUAUAAUUUUCAGCUUGCCACUGUCAGAAGAUUAGUUAUUAUAGACUGUAAGAUAUUGGUCCUAUAUAAUAUAUUCUAUAUUGUUCAUUUUUCUUUUUAAUUAGCAAGGUUGUGGGUAUUAUUAUGAAAUUUUCAUAUAUUUAUAUACUCAUGUCAAUAUACUUUGUUCUUACCCAGCCUGCACUGCUCUCCCCCACUACCUCCCUAUUCCUAUCUGAUAUAACCUUCUUCCCUAGAUAUAGUCCUCUUGCUGCUUUAAUGUCACAUGUGUUCCAUCACCAGCCCUUUAUCCCCUCCCACUCUGUUUGUUUUUGAUGUAUAGUAAUGUCUUGCUUACGUGAAUGUCUAUUAACUACAUGUAAGUCUGGUGCGCACUGAGUCCAUGGCAUGCAUGGGCUCUCUUGAAUCUGAAAUUACAGACACUCGUACAGCCACCGUGCUGGUACUAGAAAUCAAAAUUGAAUCUUCUGGAAGAGUAGUCAUUAUUCUUACCCACAGAGCCAUGUCUCCAGUUGCCUCCAUGUAAUUUUUUAUGUGUUUUGAUCCUUUGAUACACGUCAUACAUUUAUAAAACAUUUGCUGAUCCUUUCUUAUCCUCCUUUCACUCUUGACAAACCUGUACUCAUCAGCAAGUCCUCUUCCUAUAUCAUGUCCUUUUAUCUAUUUGUUUUAUUUACUUAAUUACAGAGACCUCCAAAAUCCUCUAUGCUCAUAGGUGGCAGAGCAUGACUUCAAAUCCAGCUCUAGCUUCCAAAUUCAAGGUUCCCAAAUUCAAGGCAGACUGUGUCUGCCUUCUGUUAGCAUGAGUGUUGGUGCUAAAUGUAGGUGUGACACCUUGUGAUAUUUGUUGACUAUGGUGAAGACAUGUUUCCCUUUGAGAAUUUGCCUCAGUCAAUAUAGACUUUGAAUAAAUGCAAGCUGACUCUUUGCUCAAAGCAAACAUCAUCAGAAGACAUCCUGCCUCCUGGAACUGGAAAAGCCAUCCUCAAAUAUGAAUAUGCUAAAAGCAAGUAACUCUGUUAGUAGGGACAAUCCUCAGGCAACAUUCUGCAUUUCUAUGUUUUCGACUCCUUCUUCCAGCUCUUCUUACACUCUCUCUGCCCCUAUUCCUUGAUAUUCCCUGAGUCUUAGAAGAGGAGAGUUAAUAUAGAUGUCUCAUACAUAGCUGCACACUUACUGUUAUUAAUUUUGCACCUUGAACAGUAAUGAAUGUUUGCAUUAAGCACUACCCACUACCAAAAAAAAAAAAAAAAAAAAAAAAAAGCAAAGUUGGGAGCAGCAUGAUUCUAUGGCUAUAAAUGUAAACCUUUUGAAGACAGCUUGACAACAUGGCAAUUUAUUAAAACAACAAUAAGCCCUCCCUUAUCAGUUCCCUAUCAUCUCCCAUGUAUCACUUUCAUCAAUUUUUACAGUACAGGGUAAUCCUCUCCUCCUGUGGAACAGCCUGAAAUCAAAUCAAGAAAGUUAUUGGUUCCUCCCGUACAUUCUUGUUACCACUGUACCAUUUGGGACACUUUCUCAGACCAAUUGGUAUAAUGACAUGCAGAGGCCAGUUCUGGUUAAAACCAUGGCUGCUUUUCCUUAUCAGAUAGCAUCUUCCAGUGCAAUGAAAACUAACCAGUGAGAAGGGUUUCCUAGUCAGUUCAAAAGUGAACAGUCUGUGUCUUGCAACUGAAGCGUGUGGUAUAUUUAGCAGCAGAACAUUACCAAUAAAUUAUGAUAUUAC
Molecule: non-coding RNA, 4840 nt
Organism: Rattus norvegicus (Norway rat)
Lineage: Eukaryota; Metazoa; Chordata; Mammalia; Rodentia; Muridae
Source: RefSeq, a predicted model, not a curated record